ACGAACGCUGGCGGCGUGCCUAAUACAUGCAAGUCGAACGAGAGCGACCGGUGCUUGCACUGGUCAAUCUAGUGGCGAACGGGUGAGUAACACUGGGUAACCUGCCCAUCAGAGGGGGAUAACAUUCGGAAACGGAUGCUAAAACCGCAUAGGUCUUCGAACCGCAUGGUUUGAAGAGGAAAAGAGGCGCAAGCUUCUGCUGAUGGAUGGACCCGCGGUGCAUUAGCUAGUUGGUGAGGUAACGGCUCACCAAGGCCGUGAUGCAUAGCCGACCUGAGAGGGUGAUCGGCCACAUUGGGACUGAGACACGGCCCAAACUCCUACGGGAGGCAGCAGUAGGGAAUCUUCCGCAAUGGACGCAAGUCUGACGGAGCAACGCCGCGUGAGUGAAGAAGGUUUUCGGAUCGUAAAACUCUGUUGUUAGAGAAGAACAAGUGCUAGAGUAACUGGUAGCGCCUUGACGGUAUCUAACCAGAAAGCCACGGCUAACUACGUG
Molecule: ribosomal RNA, 496 nt
Filed under: uncultured Granulicatella sp.
Lineage: Bacteria; Bacillati; Bacillota; Bacilli; Lactobacillales; Carnobacteriaceae
Description: bacterial SSU rRNA
Rfam family: Bacterial small subunit ribosomal RNA
Source: RNAcentral